AACGCGAAGAACCUUACCUGGGCUCGAACGGCUUCUCAACGGCGGUGGAAACACCGCUAUCCCGCAAGGGAGUGGAGUCGAGGUGCUGCAUGGCUGUCGUCAGCUCGUGUCGUGAGAUGUUGGGUUAAGUCCCGCAACGAGCGCAACCCUUGUCCUGUGUUGCUACCCGAAAGGGGCACUCGCAGGAGACCGCCAGCGAUAAGCUGGAGGAAGGUGGGGAUGACGUCAAGUCCUCAUGGCCUUUAUGUCCAGGGCUACACACGUGCUACAAUGGCCGGUACAAAGCGUUCCCAAACCGCGAGGUGGAGGCAAUCGCAAAAAACCGGUCUCAGUUCGGAUUGCAGGCUGCAACUCGCCUGCAUGAAGCUGGAAUCGCUAGUAAUGGCAGAUCAGCACGCUGCCGUGAAUACGUUCCCGGGCCUUGUACACACCGAGACGUA
This 440-nucleotide ribosomal RNA is filed under the name uncultured bacterium. Its description in RNAcentral is "bacterial SSU rRNA". It matches the Rfam family "Bacterial small subunit ribosomal RNA", at positions 958 to 1398 of the family's 1533-position model. The record is from RNAcentral.